Ailuropoda melanoleuca (giant panda) is the source of this 1483-nucleotide long non-coding RNA. RefSeq lists it as uncharacterized. The record is from RefSeq and is a predicted model, not a curated record. NCBI's taxonomy places the organism in Eukaryota, Metazoa, Chordata, Mammalia, Carnivora, Ursidae. The transcript has 5 exons.
CACGAGGCCGUCGCGCGGGUUUUGCGUCUUCAAGGUACGCUUGGGCUUCUCCUCUCCAACUCGGGUGGGGAAGGGGUCUGCGCCCUGCAGAGCCACGUCUUCGCCGUGGGAACGGAGGCCCAGAGAGAGGACCAGGACCAGCUGCAUAAUUUGUGGGGACCAGUGCAGGAUGAAACUGCAGUGGCCCUUGUUCAUCGAUUACAAACUUCAAGAUGGUGACAACGGAGCGUUAAACCAAGUCCGGACCCUUCUGAGAGCGGAGUCCUUUGAGACUGCAUGGAUCACAUUUGUGUUGCAGUGCGUUGAAUGCUGGCCCUCAAAAAAGAAAGGCCGCGUGAGGACCUGACCAGGAAGGGAGUUCUCGCCAAGAACCUCAUCACGCUGGCAUCCUCAUCUUGGAUUUCUGGCCUCCAGAACCAUGAGAAAUAAAUGUUGGCUAAGCCAUUCAGUCGAUGGUCAGGCUUUGAAGAACUGUUUUCUUCCACUUAUCUUCUGGAACACUCACUCUUGGAAUUCACCCACCAUGUGAUGAGGAAGCUCAAGCUGCCAUGGAGAGGCCCAUAUAAAAAGGAACCAAGCCUCCAGUUCAAAGCUCUGGGUGAGCUCUCACCUGACAGCCAGCACCAACAGCCAUAGAAGGAAAGCAAGACACAGAAGGAGGAAGUGACUUGUCCGGGGUUAUGCACUGUCAUGGGUUGAGUGAUGCCCCCCACAAAAAGGAUAUGUCCGUGUUCUAAUUCUUAGAACUUGCAAAUGUUACCUUAUUUGGAAAAAAGUUUCUUUGCAAAUGUAAUUAAGGAUUUUGAGAUGAAGAGAUCAUCCCAGAUUAUCUGGCUGAGCCCUAAAUCCGAUGACCUGUGUCCUUAUAAGAGAUACACAGAGGUGAUUAGACAGAAGAGGUGAAGAGAGACACAGAAAGAGAAGUUCAUGUGAAGAUGGGGCAAAGAUGGGGGUGAUGUGGCCAAAAGCCAAGGAAUGCCAUCAGCCACCAGAACUUGGAAGAAACAAGGAAGGAUUCUUCUCUGAAGCCUCCAGAGGGAGUGGGGCCCUGUAGACAUCUUGAUUUCAGCCUUCUGGCCUCCAGAAUUGUGAAAGAAUAAAUUUCCAUUGUUUUUAGCCCACCUGGUUCGUGAUAAUUCCUUAUGGUACCCACAGGAAACUAAUAUAUACAACAAGGUUGAAGCUUGGACUUGAGAGAUCUUGAACUCCAUUCCUGGCCAGAGAAACCUGCCUCUCCACUGCCUCUGAAAUCUUUCAAGUGGCCAGCAUUCAUUCCUGUAUUAGCAGAGUGGACCGUGUGGGGCUCUGGUGACCUGGAGGGCCCAUGAUGAAUCUACAGGGAGCUACAGCCCUUUAGCUCCAUGUGGUACAAUGCUGUCCUGUCACCAUCUCUUGCCUCAUCUACUUCAGUGAUCUCACCUGCUUCUACUCUACCCCCUCCUCAAUCUGUUUUCCACAUAGUAUCUGGAGUAAUCUUAAAAAC